RNAcentral lists this RNase P RNA (451 nucleotides) under Geobacteraceae bacterium GWC2_58_44. RNAcentral's name for it is "RNase P RNA component class A". It matches the Rfam family "Bacterial RNase P class A". Rfam says of the family: Ribonuclease P (RNase P) is a ubiquitous endoribonuclease, found in archaea, bacteria and eukarya as well as chloroplasts and mitochondria. The record is from RNAcentral. Lineage: Bacteria; Pseudomonadati; Thermodesulfobacteriota; Desulfuromonadia; Geobacterales; Geobacteraceae.
CGAAGCAGACCAGAUGGCCGCCGCCCUCCUUAGCCUUUGGCGAAGGAGGGGGGAGGAAAGUCCGGGCUCCACAGGGUAUGGUGCUGGAUAACGUCCAGCGGGGGUGACCCCAGGGAAAGUGCCACAGAGAGAAGUCCGCCCGCCCAGCUUUAGCAAAGGUAGGUCCGUCCGAGGUAGCACCGGAGGCGUGCCUGCCCGCCGUAGCUUCAGCGAAGGCGGGUAAGGGUGAAAGGGUGAGGUAAGAGCUCACCGGGUCCGACGGCGACGCCGGAUGCCAGGUAAACCCCACCAGGAGCAAGACCAAAUAGGGAAGCGUUAAGGACGGCCCGUCCGUGCUUCCGGGUUGGUUGCUUGAGGGCGUCGGCAACGGCGCUCCUAGAUGAAUGACCAUCGCCCGCCUCCGGGUAACCGGCUGCGGGAACAGAACCCGGCUUACGGGCUGCUUCGGCCA